Molecule: long non-coding RNA, 1895 nt
Organism: Dermochelys coriacea (leatherback sea turtle)
Lineage: Eukaryota; Metazoa; Chordata; Testudines; Dermochelyidae
Exons: 2
Source: RefSeq, a predicted model, not a curated record
AGAGACGACAAAGAGAGCGUAGUCAAAAGGCUACUGUACCGCCCGUCGGACAGCCUAGCGCGAGGGGGACGAGGUCCCGCGAGGCAGAGGCUCUACCCCGCCCCUGCGACCGGGGGCAGCGGAGCUCCAGGGCAGCAAGUGCCCUGGCUAGGGCAGAUUGGGCGGCAAGGCGCAGAGUUGCAGGGGGAAGGUUGUUACUGCCCUGCCCUGAGCUUUCUGGCAGGGAUGCGCCCAGUGCAGGGCUGCCCCAUCUUCGCGCUGGGCGGAGUCCGGCGGACCCCCACCAGGCCGGGGCCCCAGCCGUUGUACAGCUCCGCUGGGCGUCAGCCCUGGCCUCCUUUACACACACAAUGAAUGGGGCGUCAGCCCUGUCUUAAGAGGCAGGCAAAGGAGGUGUCCCCCCGCCCCCCAGCUCAGCCUUGGAGGUGGAUUGUGCCCAACCCUUUAGGACAGGAAGCGAAGAAUAGGAGCCCUGAGCACCUUUGUACUCAAUGUACUUACCCGUCCAGCCAGUCCUCCUCCUGGGGCUAGUGAGGAGGAGGAAGGAUUUCUACAGUGCCCUAGAGAGGAAGAAAAAUUCCUAACCCCUCCGCAAGGGAACGUUAGUCCUGGACAGAGGAAGAGGUCUUUGGGAAAGCUGGUGGGAAGAAGGAUCCAUGAUUGGACAUAUGAAUGCAUGUGUGCAUGGCCAUGUUGAAAGAAUGAACAAUGGAGAACUGCAAAGCCAAACCACACCGGAGGCUAAGGUGACUGUGCUCAAGGAUUCAGAACAUGGACUCAGGCCUGUUCUACACUAAUAAAUUGACCUGUUGCUAAAAAAUGGUUGUUGGGAGGAAAUCCCCUUGAACUGAUGCUUUCCAUACUGGGGCUGGAGUUUAUAAUGCUAGCCAUUAAACCAUUUUCAGCACUGGGUUAGAGGAACCUGUUACUAAAAGUGAUCUUUAGCAAUGGAUAAAAUUCCAAUCUAGAGGUAAAACUCACUGAAGACCAAGGAAGAGUUAACGGUUUGGCAUUCCCAUUCAGUAAUUUUACAUUUAACCAAGUUAUCAUGAUCAAUACAUUACAGAUGUAAUGCAUUAUACAUUUUGGGAACACAAACCAUAACUGAAUAUGACGCAGUUUGAUUUUUAAACAAACAUUUCUCCCAACUGUUUCAGACACUAUGGUAAGGUGAAUUUUUAGAAGUAUUUGUUAACUGCUACAUAUAUUAAAAAGAAGGGAUUUUGACUUUUUGCUUUGUGCUGUCAGAAUUCACUAGUUCCACUCUUGUCAAGUUAUUCAGAGUAAGCAAUUUAAUAUAAAAUCCUCAGGCUCUCUAUACACAUAGUAAACCCCCACCAGCAUCCCAACGGCUCAAAGUAAUACAUAGUAACCCCACCAGGCCCCCAAAAAGGUACAAACUGGGAAGUCUAUAAACAAUAAAAUACAACAGCAAAAAAUACAUGAAAUGCUAACACAAGAAAGGUAUUUGCAAAAAAAAAAAAAAAAUACUGGGAGGGACGGGGGGGAAGAUGGCAGGAAGAGGUAGCAAAGGAUGAUUUCUAAACACAUCUAAGGCAAUCUUUGUAUUUAUCUCUUUCUGCAACUAGGAGCCAUCAUUUAACAGCAGAUUUUUACACUUCAAUAACCUCAAGCUCAGGGCAUAUCUAAGAAGUUAGUGACCAGAGGGCAUUCAAGGCCCUAUUCCAAUACAGGCUAUCUUUCCUCCCAAUAGGAAAGAUUGCUAUCCUUGUUAUUGCUCAAUUACAAAUUAAGCUUACAAAAUUAAGCAGCAGACACAGGAAGACAGACUCACAUAAGUAAGCAUUUAUUCAAGAAUCACUUAACAUGAAAGUAUACAAAUAAAAUUUGUAUAAACACAAAUCCACAUUGUGUCGUAACACAGAUGGCAAAAA